ACAGCAACACCAAAAGCACACAUGUCCAUAACUGCCCAUAACUGUCAGGGACCCUGGGUCUGACAGUUACUCGUUGAAGAACAGAGAUACAAACUGAACACUAAUUCUGUUAAGAAUUCAGAUGUUCCUGUAGAAACACAGUAUGCUGAUGUCACAGAGGCUACAGACAACUCAAACAAACCCACCCAUAGUGCACUGAGUUUUCUUAACAAGGCCCGUGUCUCUCCCAACAACGCCUCCUGUAGUAAC
Oreochromis aureus is the source of this 249-nucleotide long non-coding RNA. RefSeq lists it as uncharacterized. Lineage: Eukaryota; Metazoa; Chordata; Actinopteri; Cichliformes; Cichlidae. The transcript has 3 exons. The record is from RefSeq and is a predicted model, not a curated record.